CAACGAUUAAAACCCUACGUGAUCUGAGUUCAGACCGGAGUAAUCCAGGUCAGUUUCUAUCUAUAAAGAGCUUUUUCUAGUACGAAAGGACCGAAAAAGCAUGGCCUCUAUAAAAUAUAAGCCUUAGCUAAUAACUUAUGACUCAAACUCAAUAAAAUCAUAGCCUAACACCACCCUCAAGACAAGAGUA
RNAcentral lists this ribosomal RNA (190 nucleotides) under Centrolene ballux (Burrowes' giant glass frog). Its description in RNAcentral is "partial 16S ribosomal RNA". The record is from RNAcentral. Lineage: Eukaryota; Metazoa; Chordata; Amphibia; Anura; Centrolenidae.